RNAcentral lists this ribosomal RNA (441 nucleotides) under uncultured bacterium. RNAcentral describes it as "bacterial SSU rRNA". It matches the Rfam family "Bacterial small subunit ribosomal RNA", at positions 82 to 518 of the family's 1533-position model. The record is from RNAcentral.
UACCUGGUGGCGACCGGCGCACGGGUGCGUAACGCGUAUGCAACCUGCCCCCAUCAGGGGAAUAGCCCGCCGAAAGGCGGAUUAAUGCCCCAUAGGCCCAGGGCGCCGCAUGGCGCUAUGGGUAAAGCUCCGGCGGAUGGGGAUGGGCAUGCGUGCCAUUAGCUAGUUGGGGCGGUAACGGCGCACCAAGGCGACGAUGGCUAGGGGGUCUGAGAGGAUGGUCCCCCCACACUGGUACUGAGACACGGACCAGACUCCUACGGGAGGCAGCAGUGAGGAAUAUUGGUCAAUGGGCGAGAGCCUGAACCGAGCCAAGUCGGCCGUGAAGGAAGAAGGAUCUACGGUUCGUAAACUUCUUUGCAGGGGAAUAAAGUGCAGGACGUGUCCUGUUUUGUAUGUACCCUGAGAAUAAGGAUCGGCUAACUCCGUGCCAGCAGCUGC